CGCGGCCUAUCAGCUUGUUGGUGGGGUAACGGCCUACCAAGGCUAUGACGGGUAGCUGACGUGAGAGCGUGAGCAGCCACACUGGGACUGAGACACGGCCCAGACUCCUACGGGAGGCAGCAGUGGGGAAUAUUGCGCAAUGGGCGAAAGCCUGGCGCAGCGACGCCGCGUGGGGGAGGAAGGCCCUAGGGUUGUAAACCCCUGUCAGGUGGGACGAACCCCGGGUUGGUUAAUAAUCAGCUCGACUGACGGUACCACCAGAGGAAGCUCCGGCUAACUCCGUGCCAGCAGCCGCGGUAAUACGGAGGGAGCGAGCGUUGUUCGGAAUCACUGGGCGUAAAGGGCGCGUAGGCGGCCGAGUAAGUCGUGUGUGAAAGACCGGGGCUCAACUCCGUGUACUGCAUGCGAUACUGCCCGGCUAGAGUAAGGUAGAGGCGAGUGGAAUUCCCGGUGUAGCGGUGGAAUGCGUAGAUAUCGGGAAGAACACCUGUGGCGAAGGCGGCUCGCUGGGCCUUUUCUGACGCUGAAGUGCGAAAGCGUGGGGAGCAGACAGGAUUAGAUACCCUGGUAGUCCACGCCGUAAACGAUGGGCACUAGGCGUUGGGAGGAUUGACCCUCUCAGUGCCGUAGCUAACGCGUUAAGUGCCCCGCCUGGGGAGUACGG
This 664-nucleotide ribosomal RNA is filed under the name uncultured bacterium. RNAcentral's name for it is "bacterial SSU rRNA". It matches the Rfam family "Bacterial small subunit ribosomal RNA", at positions 232 to 885 of the family's 1533-position model. The record is from RNAcentral.